Molecule: small nuclear RNA, 129 nt
Organism: Cricetulus griseus (Chinese hamster)
Lineage: Eukaryota; Metazoa; Chordata; Mammalia; Rodentia; Cricetidae
Gene: U4
Rfam family: U4 spliceosomal RNA
About the family: U4 small nuclear RNA (U4 snRNA) is a component of the major U2-dependent spliceosome. The structure of U4 snRNA from yeast and human has been reported. U4 snRNA presents a k-turn RNA motif in the 5p-SL related to recognition of Snu13 protein.
Source: Ensembl
AUUCCCGUGCAGUGGCAGUACCAUAGCCAAUGAGGGUUAUCCCAGGCACAAUUAUUGCUAAUUGAAAACUUUUCCCAAUACCCCGCUGUGAUAACUUGAUGUUGUAUAUUUAAAUGAGUAUAAAUUACC